This 204-nucleotide ribosomal RNA is filed under the name uncultured bacterium. RNAcentral describes it as "partial 16S ribosomal RNA". It matches the Rfam family "Bacterial small subunit ribosomal RNA", at positions 338 to 539 of the family's 1533-position model. The record is from RNAcentral.
CCUACGGGAGGCAGCAGUGAGGAAUAUUGGACAAUGGGUGAGAGCCUGAUCCAGCCAUCCCGCGUGAAGGAUGACGGUCCUACGGAUUGCAAACUUCUUUUGUAUAGGGAUAAACCCAGAUACGUGUAUCUGGCUGAAGGUACUAUACGAAUAAGCACCGGCUAACUCCGUGCCAGCAGCCGCGGUAAUACGGAGGGUGCAAGC